UUUGGAUAAAACGGAGAUGGAGUGGAUAGACCUUGCGUUCUUAUGCAACUGAGUCGAGAAGCGAGUUGUUGCAAAAGCCAAGGCGGAUUCGAUGAGAGCCAUUUCUUCUUCGCUCACGAUUUCGAUGGGGAUGUGAGGAGGAGGUGGAGAAGAGAUGGGUGGGGUUGAAACAGGGGAGGUGGGGGAGUGAGUUGGUGACUCGGGCGAUUCCACGUUCGUUUUUGACCGUUGCGUUUCCAUCGGAGGUGGAGGUGCUUUCGGGUCGGGGGAGAUGUUAACCGCUUUUGUAUUUUCUUUUUUGUUUACUUGGAGUACAAAGGAAGCAAUUGCAGUAUUUUAAUUUAUUGGUCGGAAAUUUAUUUAUUUUUGCAAGAAUCAUUGUUAUUUUCUGAGUGAUCAUAUUAGAUAAAAAUCUCGAUAUACAUAAUAAACACCACAUAAAUCGGAAAUCGAGCUAUCGAUCUGGAAUUAAUUAAAAAAUCAGAAAUUAAUCGGAAGAUUAAUUAUAAUGAAAAUCGAAUAUAUUAAUAUUAAAAUAUUAUUUAAUAAUUAGUUAUUAUUAUAUUGGUUGAUAUAUCUUUAUUAUAUUAUAUAAGUUUUGCGGUUGUUCAUAUUUAAAUGAUAUAUUAUUUUAAUUUUCAUAAAUUAUUAUAUAAAUUUUAUUUAAUAAACAUUAAUCGAAUUUCAAAAAUCAAAUCGAUCAACAAUAUUGUAGAGAUUAAUUGGCUUAAUCAUGAAUUUUUACGACACGAGUACCAUGCAAGGUUGUAAAAAUCGAAACUCGGUUCAACUCGGUUUGGUUUCAGGAAAAUGAGUACUCGGAAUGAGUUAUCGGUAUUUUUUAAUUGAUUUUUCCUCUCAUAUAUAGUUAUAUGCCGAUUAAUAAUAAAACUAUUUAAUAAUAUUAAUAUUUUAAUAACACACUUGAAAUAAUGAAGCUCAAACAAAAGUUACUUGUUUGAUAUUUUUUAACAAAAUAAUCAUUCACAAGUUUUAGUGAUAAGACACUUAUACUUUCUAAUUAAUGUCAAUACUUUGCAAAAAAAAAAAAAAAAAAGGACAUUAUGGUUGAAUUAUAACCCCAAAUAUACUCGUAUCGAUCCCCUCUUCCAUUCUAAAACAGGCUCUGGUAUAGCAAUCUACUAGUUUAUAUAAAUAGCAAUUGGAUACGAUGAAUAAAUUUAGUGGACAUAGCCAGGAUAACUAUCAUAUGAGCACCUAGUUUAAACGAAAACUAAUCUUCUAUGUUGGACCAUUUUCUGUACAAUAACACUUAUUUUACUUAUUUUUGCAACUCCAUAUUGCCAAACUUUAUCCAGCAGUCGGAAUUUCUGAUUCCAAAUCGAGUAUUUGUGUCAUCUGAAUUUCAUGUUCUCAUAAAUCUUACUGAAAUUUAUUAAAAAUGACAAGAUGGACUUCUAACUUAAAAAAUAAAACAUAUAUAAGUGCCAGAGUAAAAUUUUAAUAAGCAAAAUAGUAUAACAAUCAAAAUCACAAACACAACGCAACAUUAGCUCAGAUAAUCCACUAAACCAAAUAAAUUCCUCUCCAUAAUCCAAAAUCUAACAAAACAAAGGCAGAUCAAAAAAGGGGUCCCUCGAAAUUUCAAAUGUCAAACAAAAUCACAUUAAAAAUAUCUUACCGAAGCUGUAAUAUCAGUAACAGACAAGCCUCUCUUCCUCCGAAACCGAUACAACAACGACUCGUUCACUCUAAACUUCUUCUUCUGCUGCUUAUUUUGCCCCCCACAAUCUUCAAUAUCAGAAGCCAACACGUUUCUUUUGGAUAAAACGGAGAUGGAGUGGAUAGACCUUGCGUUCUUAUGCAACUGAGUCGAGAAGCGAGUUGUUGCAAAAGCCAAGGCGGAUUCGAUGAGAGCCAUUUCUUCUUCGCUCACGAUUUCGAUGGGGAUGUGAGGAGGAGGUGGAGAAGAGAUGGGUGGGGUUGAAACAGGGGAGGUGGGGGAGUGAGUUGGUGACUCGGGCGAUUCCACGUUCGUUUUUGACCGUUGCGUUUCCAUCGGAGGUGGAGGUGCUUUCGGGUCGGGGGAGAUGUUAACCGCUUUUGUAUUUUCUUUUUUGUUUACUUGGAGUACAAAGGAAGCAAUUGCAGUAUUUUAA
Molecule: long non-coding RNA, 2120 nt
Filed under: Daucus carota (carrot)
Lineage: Eukaryota; Viridiplantae; Streptophyta; Magnoliopsida; Apiales; Apiaceae
Description: long non-coding RNA (DCAR_LNC001279)
Source: RNAcentral